AUGCAAGAUCGGGUCGGUCUGGUCCUGGACGGCUUCCCGCUCGACCAUGAGUUUUCGGAGGACUACAACCUUGAGGAAGAGGAUUAGUUGGACAUCGACGGGGAGCCUUUGUUCGAGGAUGAGCUCGCCAACGAAGCCGUCGGGGUGAAGCCAAAGAACAAGAGUAGGCGGACGAAGGCAUACACGGUGGCCGAGGACAAGCUCCUUUGUGAGUGUUGGAGGGACACUGGGCAAGACCCCAAGGUCGGCGCCGAACGAAAGGCAUCAACCUUUUGGACUCAUGUCCAUUGUGAGUUUCAUGAACGCAAGAAGUUUCCGUCGUACCAAAUGCAAAGCAUAAGCGGGUGGGUGUCCAUUUCAAAGCGAUGGAAGGUGAUCCAACAAGAGUGCAACAAGUUCUGUGCCACUUUUGAGAGCAUCAAGGCACGCCCCGUGAGCGGCAUCGGCAUGCAAGACAUGGUAUCCAUGCAUGUGCCCCUCUUUGUUUCAUUCCGUUUAUUGCCAAUAUGCUUGCAUGCAAUUCAUUUGUAG
Molecule: ribosomal RNA, 531 nt
Filed under: Triticum aestivum (bread wheat)
Lineage: Eukaryota; Viridiplantae; Streptophyta; Magnoliopsida; Poales; Poaceae
Description: partial small subunit ribosomal RNA
Source: RNAcentral